Molecule: long non-coding RNA, 329 nt
Organism: Piliocolobus tephrosceles (Ugandan red Colobus)
Lineage: Eukaryota; Metazoa; Chordata; Mammalia; Primates; Cercopithecidae
Exons: 2
Source: RefSeq, a predicted model, not a curated record
UGCUCUCUCUCGCAGGAGAGACACAAAGGCCCUGGUACCAGCAGAGGUGACGUGAGGCUCCCAGAUCACACAGGGACGGGGUGGCGGGGGGACUGUGCUCCUUUGAAUGGAGAGGCUGGCAGAAGGCUCAGCACAAAUAAGGGACAGGGUCUUGUUAUGCCGCCAGGGCUGGUCUUGAACUCCUGGGCUCAAGCAAUCCUCCCACCUCAGCCUCCCACAGUGCUGGAAUUAUAGAAGUGAGCCACCCCGCCUGGCCUUCUAGCUUAAUCUUCACAAUUCUGAGCAAUGGUGUCUUCCCCAUUUUAAAGAUGAGAAAAAAAAAAAAAAAA